CAUUCUCACACACUAAAAACCCUUCCCUGACCUCAAGACCCUAAUCGACACAACCCCCUCCUUUAAUUACCUCGCUAUUCAAUUCUACAACUCAAUCGCUCAACUAUCGGUCUUCUCUCAGCCCUCUCUAUAUUCUUUCUUCUUGAUGUACGCCUCCCCUCUGUCUAUGAUAUCGGUUUGGAAGUUCAUGUAGUGGCGCUCAGUUUUUGGUGGAACGCAACCAAGACUCAGGUGAUGAUUGCCAUUCGAACACACAUUAAAGACAGGUCCUGUGGGUGAAUUGGGGAGAAGGGAGAUGGCAGAAGCCCUAGCCGCCGUCGGAUGGUUCCGGUGAGUUAUUCCGUUAUAUAUACGUAUUUAUGUAUCGGUGACUUCCAUCGUCAACUUUCUUUGUGUUCACUGUUGCUUUUUCAGGUUGAUACAUGUAAUCUUCAUGCCUGUCUUCUUUGAGAAUACGUCUUGAUCUACUAGCAUUCUCUUUAUGGAUGUAAAAAUGGGUUACCAGAAUCCAGAAUUAGGUCUUGAUUGAAGCGAAAGUAACAAUUUUGCACGGAAAUUGGGGAUUUUUAUAAGUUAGUGUAGCUGUUGAGGAUUCUAGGGUUUGUGAGAGGUGUGUAUAAAAUUGCGAAGGAAGAUGUUUUAUUCGCAGUUUAUAUUAGCAAAAAAGGGUCCGUUAGGGACGAUAUGGAUAGCGGCGCAUCUCGAGAGGAAGCUUAGGAAAAAUCAGGUUGCUGAUACUGAUAUUGGUGUCUCUGUAGGUUGCUUGUGGGUUCGGAUUUGUGGUUUUCGCUGACCCGGUGGUUGCUGAAAGAGUUGUGAAAGAUAAGCAUAUCAUAGAUGGUAGCGAUGUGGAGGGGAAGGCGGUUUCAACGGAUGAUCAAACAAGUUGUUAACUGGAAGAACGGUAGUGUCCAAUUCUUGGCGUUUUUUUCCCGGGUAUGCUUUGUUCCAACUUCAUAGGAAAUUUUGCAAAAGAAUUCAUGGGUGGGGUCAGACGAUUGACAAAGUUUGUCACUCAGCAUUAACGAGUUUUUGAAACUUGCUGCUGGUGAAAGAAACUACACCCCUUGGCGGGAGUGGAGGCCAUAAAGGAGGUAGACGUUACAACCAAGGUUCUGCAAGCCAUGCCCCUAAAGCCCCAAAAAUUGAAGACUUGCGUCACUUUUCUACUUUAGGUGGCAGGGGAAUUAUUCUUCUCGCCAUGCUGACACGUCAUCAACUUUUCAACACUUUUACUGAUGGCAGAAGUAAUCAUAUUAGCAUAACCGAGUCCUAUUUAUUCGCAAAUGUCUCAGAAAUAAUGGUGUCGAGUCACAAAGCUUGGAGAGCCCAAGGAAUCUGGAUGAUGUAAGUGAUAAGAUGAAACAGGGCAGUUGACCGAAACUAUAAAUGCUGCUUAGUGUCGGCUGAUUAUUAUGUUAGACAGUGCCUAUACCUCUAACAAGGUAUGCCAACCAUUAAUGUUCAUGAUAAGUUUUUCAAGUGGCAAAAUGGAUUGGUGAGGAGGCUCAGGUAACAGGUAAAUAGCGGUAGCUCUUUGGGACGCGUUGAAUGGGGCUGGGUCGGCAUGUCAAAUAUGGUUACAAAAUUUAUGUUAUCUAUAAUAAUUUAGUUUUUGUAUAAAAUGAUUUUAGAGGUUUUAUGCACUAAAGAUGCACACUAUUGACCCACUUCUUUUUAAGCUAAACUAGGGGAUAUGCCCGCCGCGUU
This is a long non-coding RNA of Helianthus annuus (common sunflower), 1710 nucleotides long. RefSeq lists it as uncharacterized. The transcript has 6 exons. NCBI's taxonomy places the organism in Eukaryota, Viridiplantae, Streptophyta, Magnoliopsida, Asterales, Asteraceae. The record is from RefSeq and is a predicted model, not a curated record.